This is an RNA transcript of Sapajus apella (tufted capuchin), 1114 nucleotides long. It is a transcript of the gene named 60S ribosomal protein L29 pseudogene, with no coding region annotated. The record is from RefSeq and is a predicted model, not a curated record. The transcript has a single exon. NCBI's taxonomy places the organism in Eukaryota, Metazoa, Chordata, Mammalia, Primates, Cebidae.
UCCUCUCUUCUUCCUGCUCUCUGCCUAGAACCUGACAUGAUGGCUGGGGCUCCUGCAGCCAUCUCAGGCCAUGAUACAACCUUGGUGUUGGAAGCCCUGCACUAAGGAUGGCAGAGCGGAAAGACCAGCCCUAGACUGUCCCCUCUAGAUUUCUUUUCAUAAUAGAAAAAAAUUUCUACUGGUUUAAGCCACUGCUAUUUCUGUUCCAGCUGCUUAACAGAAUUCCUAACUGAUAUAUGAAUAAAUCAAUUAAAUGUAGCUUUCUUAAAUUAUUCAUUGCUGACCUACAGUUCGCAAGGCCAAUCACCACCUCUAACUUCUGGUCUUUGUAACGAAAGGAUAAUUUAUUAUUAUGUUACAAAGAACUAUUGUUCACCAGAGGUCAGGAGAAGGGAAGGACGGAAGCACUAGAAGGAAGAGGUAGUUCAAGGAGGAGGAGACGCUGAAAAGAUGAGGGAUAGUUCCAGUCCUAGGCACACUGGGAACCGUGGCUUAGGUGCAGACAUGGCCAAGUCCAAGAACCACACCACACACAACCAGUCCCGAAAAUGGCACAGAAAUGGUAUCAAGAAACCCCGAUCACAAAGAUACGAAUCUCUUAAGGGGGUGGACCCCAAGUUCCUGAGGAACAUGUGCUUUGCCAAGAAGCACAACAAGAAGGGCCUAAAGAUGAUACAGGCCAACAAUGCCAAGGCCAUGAGUGCACGUGCCGAGGCCAUCAAGGCCCUCGUAAAGCCCAAGGAGGUUAAGCCCAAGAUCCCAAAGGGUGUCAGCUGCAAGCUCGAUUGACUUGCCUACAUUGCCCACCCCAAGAUUGGGAAGUGUGCUCGUGCACGCAUUGCCAAGGGGCUCAGGCUCUGCCAGCCAAAGGUCAAGGCCAAGGCCAAGGCCAAGGAUCAAACCAAGUCCCAGGCUGCAGCUCCAGCUUCAGUUCCAGCUCAGGCUCCCAAAGGUGCCCAGGCCCCUACAAAGGCUUCAGAGUAGAUAUCUCUGUCUGCCAACGUGAGGACAGAAGGACUGGUGCAACCCCCCCGGGGCUGCCAUCUGCAGGGGGCUGGGGUCCUCCUGUGCUAUUUGUACAAAUAAACCUGAGGGAGGAAAAAAAAAAAAAAAA